This 1437-nucleotide ribosomal RNA is filed under the name uncultured organism. Its description in RNAcentral is "SSU rRNA". It matches the Rfam family "Bacterial small subunit ribosomal RNA". The record is from RNAcentral.
UACAGGCUUAACACAUGCAAGUCGAGGGGCAGCAUGGUCUUAGCUUGCUAAGGCCGAUGGCGACCGGCGCACGGGUGAGUAACACGUAUCCAACCUGCCGUCUACUCUUGGACAGCCUUCUGAAAGGAAGAUUAAUACAAGAUGGCAUCAUGAGUCCGCAUGUUCACAUGAUUAAAGGUAUUCCGGUAGACGAUGGGGAUGCGUUCCAUUAGAUAGUAGGCGGGGUAACGGCCCACCUAGUCUUCGAUGGAUAGGGGUUCUGAGAGGAAGGUCCCCCACAUUGGAACUGAGACACGGUCCAAACUCCUACGGGAGGCAGCAGUGAGGAAUAUUGGUCAAUGGGCGAGAGCCUGAACCAGCCAAGUAGCGUGAAGGAUGACUGCCCUAUGGGUUGUAAACUUCUUUUAUAAAGGAAUAAAGUCGGGUAUGGAUACCCGUUUGCAUGUACUUUAUGAAUAAGGAUCGGCUAACUCCGUGCCAGCAGCCGCGGUAAUACGGAGGAUCCGAGCGUUAUCCGGAUUUAUUGGGUUUAAAGGGAGCGUAGAUGGAUGUUUAAGUCAGUUGUGAAAGUUUGCGGCUCAACCGUAAAAUUGCAGUUGAUACUGAAUAUCUUGAGUGCAGUUGAGGCAGGCGGAAUUCGUGGUGUAGCGGUGAAAUGCUUAGAUAUCACGAAGAACUCCGAUUGCGAAGGCAGCCUGCUAAGCUGCAACUGACAUUGAGGCUCGAAAGUGUGGGUAUCAAACAGGAUUAGAUACCCUGGUAGUCCACACGGUAAACGAUGAAUACUCGCUGUUUGCGAUAUACUGCAAGCGGCCAAGCGAAAGCGUUAAGUAUUCCACCUGGGGAGUACGCCGGCAACGGUGAAACUCAAAGGAAUUGACGGGGGCCCGCACAAGCGGAGGAACAUGUGGUUUAAUUCGAUGAUACGCGAGGAACCUUACCCGGGCUUAAAUUGCAGAUGAAUUACGGUGAAAGCCGUAAGCCGCAAGGCAUCUGUGAAGGUGCUGCAUGGUUGUCGUCAGCUCGUGCCGUGAGGUGUCGGCUUAAGUGCCAUAACGAGCGCAACCCUUGUUGUCAGUUACUAACAGGUUCCGCUGAGGACUCUGACAAGACUGCCAUCGUAAGAUGUGAGGAAGGUGGGGAUGACGUCAAAUCAGCACGGCCCUUACGUCCGGGGCUACACACGUGUUACAAUGGGGGGUACAGAGGGCCGCUACCACGCGAGUGGAUGCCAAUCCCCAAAACCUCUCUCAGUUCGGACUGGAGUCUGCAACCCGACUCCACGAAGCUGGAUUCGCUAGUAAUCGCGCAUCAGCCACGGCGCGGUGAAUACGUUCCCGGGCCUUGUACACACCGCCCGUCAAGCCAUGGGAGCCGGGGGUACCUGAAGUGCGUAACCGCGAGGAGCGCCCUAGGGUAAAACUGGUGACUGGGGCU